This 274-nucleotide long non-coding RNA is filed under the name Bos taurus (domestic cattle). RNAcentral's name for it is "long non-coding RNA NONBTAT025318". Lineage: Eukaryota; Metazoa; Chordata; Mammalia; Artiodactyla; Bovidae. The record is from RNAcentral.
ACUAUGUAAAACUGUUUUACUCUACUGUCUUUCUAUCUUGGCCCCUUAGCAAAAAUACCAACCUGGAUUAAUGAAUAUAGUUAAUAAUUUCCAUUGGUAUUUCCAGGAGUUGUAGCUGCAUACUACUGGAGAAAAUGUAUAAACAAACCAAUUGAUUCCUCUAUUAAUCUAAUUUUAUUUAGGUCUUAAUGCCUACAAGAUACUCUUGUGAUACUACUUUAGUCAGAUUCUUUUCCCUUUUGGCACAGAAAGGCACAUCUAAACAUUUCUCCUC